AUUGAACGCUGGCGGCAUGCUUUACACAUGCAAGUCGAACGGUAACAGGGUAAGCUGACGAGUGGCGAACUGGGGAGUAAUGCAUCGGAACGUGCCCGAUCGUGGGGGAUACCGCAGCGAAAGCGGCGCUAAUACCGCAUACGAUCUGAGGAUGAAAGAGGGGGACGGUAAAGCCUCGCGCGAACGGAGCGGCCGAUGUCAGAUUAGGUGGUUGGUGGGGUAAAGGCUAACCAAGCCAACGAUCUGUAGCUGGUCUGAGAGGACGACCAGCCACACUGGGACUGAGACACGGCCCAGACUCCUACGGGAGGCAGCAGUGGGGAAUUUUGGACAAUGGGCGAAAGCCUGAUCCAGCAAUGCCGCGUGCAGGAAGAAGGCCUUCGGGUUGUAAACUGCUUUUGUACGGAGCGAAAAGGCUCUCUCUAAUACAGGGGGCUCAUGACGGUACCGUAAGAAUAAGCACCGGCUAACUACGUGCCAGCCGCCGCAGUAA
RNAcentral lists this ribosomal RNA (493 nucleotides) under uncultured bacterium. Its description in RNAcentral is "partial 16S ribosomal RNA". It matches the Rfam family "Bacterial small subunit ribosomal RNA", at positions 29 to 523 of the family's 1533-position model. The record is from RNAcentral.